GAUUGUUUAGAUCCUCAAUUCUAUACAAACUUUUUCCAAUUAAAAAAAUAUAGAUUCAAGAAGCCUAAUACCCUAGGGUGGUUUGGGAAUCUUGGAUACACAAAAUCAAGAUUUGUACAUCCAGAUCUCGCAAGAUAAGUAGCGUUUGGCUCAUUGCAAGCACGAUUGGUCACAUUGAAGCUACGAAGCCCAUUGCUCGUACUUUGGUCAACACUUCGAGCUCUGUUGUCGCUAGUUUUUCUUUAGAGUCGGCAACCUACCUUCCGCCAUUAAAAUCAGAACUUGAGAUAUGUUUUCUGGGCAUUGUGAAAAUCGCUUUCCCCUUGACUUUGUUAUUGUGCUAACAAAAUAACUCUCGGUCAUCAGAAACAAAGGCCAUUGGCUAUGGAAAAUUAAAGCAAAGGCAUUUGGUUAUGUGAUCAUUUGGACACAAUGACUUCAUUUUUAUUUCAAUUUGGUUUUUAUUGAGGAGGACAAAUUAAUCUCAAUAUUGUACUUUCCUUAUAGACUUCAUAUUGUUUCGGCAUUACAGUUGCAUUUCAAUUAAUGGCUAAAUUGUGAAAGAAA
Non-coding RNA from Amborella trichopoda, 567 nucleotides. NCBI's taxonomy places the organism in Eukaryota, Viridiplantae, Streptophyta, Magnoliopsida, Amborellales, Amborellaceae. The record is from RefSeq and is a predicted model, not a curated record.